GUUAAACAAUAUCAAUCAGGUUACAUUUCUCAUCAAUAUCUAUCAAAUUACAAUAACUUGUAUGUACUCUAAAAAUAUUAAACCAAAACCAAACAAAAAUAACACUAAUAAUGCCCAUAAUAAAGGUAAGUAAAUAAAAGAAAACAUUUGGCUGUUACAGAAUGAUAGCUCCGUUACACAAGACAUCCUUUACAAAAUGAUAGCUAUGAGAUGGAUUGUUUUUGCUCCAUUAAGAUAUCUAGUUGAUGCAAAUAACAACAUCAUGGUUCCCUUCUUGGUCCUCUUUGUCUUUCCUACACAAUUUGACAGCAACCUGGAAAGACAAAAAACAUACAAUUAAUAUACAUGAAAGAUGAUGAAAUUUCCUUUCCACUAAGUACUAUUGUACUACAUGUUCAACUUGAAAGUAAAUAGCAUCAUGCAUGAAACAUAGAAGCCGAAUUAAUAUACAGACAACUAACUUUGAGGUGAAUAAAUUCUAUUUGCAGGCAUGUAAACUUGGUAUCCUUACCGAAAUGUCAAACUAGGAAUAACCAAGGUUGAACAAAAGACGCGACCCAAAGUUUUGAGAAAUAGUUGGAUGAUUGAACCAUUUCAUGACUUUCUUCACGUGAUUUAUAUCACAGGGUGAAAGAAAUGUUCUGCACCGAACGAUUUAUGUUAUGCUAUCAAACUGAAAAUAAUUCAUGUCGAGGUGCACAACAAGGAACAUAAACAAAUGUUGUAGCUAUAGUUGUGUUGCCUGCUACACUCAUCUAGUAAAAAUUUCAGGACACUAAGUAUUAGCUGCCUUUCAACAAUCAUGACAAAGAAAAGAUAUAUUCUCACGUUUUCUUUCUAAAUCAAGUCUUAAUGUGGCAUUUUUCUCAAAGUACCAUCAUAGUUAAGAUUUAUAGCUCAGUUCUAUGUUCCAAGUUUAAGCACUAUGCGAGUUACUAAUGAUAAUACACUAAGGAAGUUUCUUUUGACAACCAAGGUCAACCAAAUUAACCACUAUGCAGAAGGUGUGCUCAUGCAUAACAACUACACCAUUUUCUUCACAAAGCGCAUAGUACGUGUAAAUUAACAUAAGCAUGCACAUGUGAAAGGAAAAAAACAAUUCUUCCAAAGAAAAAUCGUUGUAUUGCUGGGAUAUAGUUAACAUGCGUACAAUAGUGGAGGGAGCUCAUCCGAUUAGAGAUCCGACUAUGCAUAGAGUAGCACAUAGUUUGGCCCCUGCUGCAUAGGGGGGUAGCGCCAGGAUCUGAUUAGAGAGACGCACGUGGACGCACGUGGAGGCACAUGAGCACGUCUGCACGGGCGCAAGUCUAACAAUUCCUGCAAGUAAAAGAAUCAGCCGAUAUCAUCUAAACAAAGAAAAAUAAAUAUUAACAGCCUCCACGGUGUAAACUAACCACCAGAUGAAAAACGACAGAAUCAAAAUAUUUUAUAGUAAAAAACGUGAGAGCAUAAUAAGUGCACUAAACCUGAACGUUGCACCUGAGGCCCCUUGCACCUCAACAUGGAUAAAACCUGAUAAGUUUCUCACAUAAUCACUUCAUCUCUUUUACAUCUGUCCGAUCCCUUAUUCUUUUCUUCACAUUUGGAACUAAAACAAACUUUAGUAGUAUAUAAAAGUAAAUAAUGUAUAAUUCGGAAAAAUACUCAAGUAUUAUAUAGAAAACAUUCAUGUAUACAAAGGCUAAAAUGAUAAGGGAAAAUAGUAUCUAAUAACUGUAAAAUCUGUAGAAGCAUGAUUGUAAAUUCGAAACUGCUAACAUACUCCAUCCGUUCCAAAAUAUAACUCUUUUUAGAGAUUCCAUUAUGGACUACGUACGGAGAAAAACGAAUGAACCUACACUCUGAAAUAUGUCUAUAUACAUCUGCAUGUAGUUCUUGGUGGAAUUUUGAGAAAGACUUAUAUUUAAGAAUGGAGGGAGUAUAUCUAAAUAACCAUGAGUGAUGCUAUAUCAUCCUACCAAAAAUCUAUCUUCUGGAUUGGAGCAUUGAGACUAACAAUUUAAGAAACACUUGCAGCCUACAACAAGAAAUAAGGAGGAGGCGUAGGAACAAGAAUGUAUUGGUUGCGGGGAGAGAAAAAGUAAACGGUACCUUGUUGUUGGAUGGAAAGAGUAACAAAGCUCCAGCCUCAACUCUCACCUAGUUCAUAGCAUGAACAUUGAAUAUACUCGUGUGUUUGCAAGAAUUCUACAAUGCUUAACUAAAAUUCUUGAACAUGAGUACUCUUAUUUGGACUUUUUGUGGAAACUGAAGCUAGUUCUCAGGGUUGUUCCUCUUAUCAAAGCAUAGAUCCGGGAAUACAUUUAUAUAUAUAAAAAGUAAUGAUUUUUCAUAGGAUGAAUACCCUUGCAUUGACCUUCAAGCACACAUAGCAUAAUAUGAUAGUCUGGCAACAAUUUGAAUAUCACAGAUUCACAAUUCACAAGCUCUAAUGUACAAAUCAAUCACAAACAGUUCAGAUUUUUUUAGCUAAUUAAGGUUUCCUUGCAACACUGAAAGAAAUACCUGCAGUUAUCAUCCUCAUCCUCUCAUCUCCAGGAGUCACACGAGUAGUAGCCCCUGUUCUUGACGUACUGCUCAAGCGCGAGCUCCAACUGAGGCACUGCUUGCUGGAUAGAAGUACUACCACAAGUCAUGGCUGAUCUUCUUAUGAACAAAAGUAAACAAAUCAACUAACGGCAGCACCGAUUGUAGAUGAGUGGAGAGGGAGAGGAGAGGAAAAUGAACAAUAACUCCCGGGCGAUGGGAAGCAGCAACAGUCAACGGCCAGAUCCCCUUCAAAUCAACCGACAAAUACAGAUCGGGGGAGGCCCAUGGCGUGGCGGCGGCGAUGCAGCGCCUGGGUGAUGACCAGGGUUUGACUGCAGUCUCCCAGGUGACCCAUGUCUCUCCCAUCCCUGGAUCUGAGAGGAGCGACGGCGUACACCAUAGGGCCUUGGCGGAUGAAGAUGACAGGGCACCAGCUAGGGUGGCUAGCGUUGGGCUGCAGGAGGAUGAAUGGGACAGGGCCACAACCGUUCGGGCUACUAGCGGCCGGCGGUGGAGGGAGCGAGUGAGGGCGCGCCGGCGGCCGAGGGAGCGAGUGAGAGGAUAAGGUUUAGGGAAUUUGGAUCUGGGAGAGCUGAAUGGAAAAAACUACACGGAGGCUUGGCGCUAAGAGUAUCUCCAACAGCCGCGCUACGCGCCGCGCCCAAAAAAUGCAUUUGCCGCGCGCGCUUCGGCUGGUUUAGCGCGGGGACAUGCGCUGGCUCCAACAGCCGCGCUAUAAUGCAGCGCGCGCGCCGCUCCAGCAGUGCCCAAAAAUGCAGCGCGCACAAUAUUUUUUUUAAUACAUAGAUUGCAUUCAAAUAAAAAGGAUAUAAAGUUUUUGCAACUAGAUAGGUAGUUGGAAAAACAUAGAUAGAUAUUCGGCGCUAUAUAGUUCGAAAACAUAUUAAAAAAACUAAUCCCAGUCGCUCCAGUCAUCUGCACCAUCGUCGUCGUCGUUGGUGUCGUCAGAGGUCGACAGCUAGCAGUCGAACCAACGCUCAUCUUCUUCAGUGAAGAAGGACCUCCCGCCUGCAUUGACGAGGUCGGCCUGCGCACACGCCAACGCCUUCCGACGACGCCUAUCCAAACGCUCCUCGCGGCGCCGGCGCGUGUCCUCCUCACGGCGACUUGCCCAAUAUUGCUGCUCGUAGGCGACGUCCUCCGGGUGGCGCCGGCGCCACUCCGCCAUGACCCGCUCGUCCUCCUGGGCGACGAGGAGGCGGCGCUGCAGCGCAUUGUGCUCCGCACGAUCUUGUGCGGAGUUCAGACGAGGCGGCGGGGCGAGGUCUAACGCCUGCUGUAGCGUCUGGACGUCCUGGAAAUUCAUUUGGCGGGCCGGCCUACCUAGGCGCCACGCCGCCGCGUCGAACGCGCGGGCGGCCUCGUGCGCCGUGUCGUACGUUCCGAGGCUAAGCCGUAGAUCGCCGGAGCGUAUCUCGGCGUAGAAGCCGCCGUGGGGGCGCUGGCGGNNNNNNNNNNNNNNNNNNNNNNNNNNNNNNNNNNNNNNNNNNNNNNNNNNNNNNNNNNNNNNNNNNNNNNNNNNNNNNNNNNNNNNNNNNNNNNNNNNNNCACCAUGUUCAAGUAGAGGGUACAACGGGUUGCGGGAGAGUGAACCGCUGAAUAUAGAUGGGGGAAGAUGAUGGAGAUGUUGGUGAAGAUGAUGGAGGUGUUGGUGUAGAUCGCCGUCACACGAUGAUGUCCCGGGCGGCGUUCCGGCGCCGCCGGAAGAGAGGGGGAGAGAGCCCCCUCCUUCUUCUUCUUCCUUGACCUCCUCCCUAGAUGGGAGAAAGGUUUCCCCUCUGGUCCAUGGUCUCCAUGGUGGCGGAUGGGCGAGAGCCCCUCCGAGAUUGGAUCUCUCUCUCUGUGUCCUUCUGUUUUUGCGCUCCCAGAUUCUGCGUUUCACCGUUUAUUAAAUUCCCGGAGAUCCGUAACUCCGAUUGGGCUGAAAUUUUAACACGGUUUUCUUCCGGAUAUUAUCUUUCCAACCGCCUUAAGGAGUGGCCACAAGCCCGCCAGCCGCCACCGUACCUCCUCGUGGCGGCUACAGGGCUUGUGGGCCCUCCGUGCAUCGCCUCGCGUUGAUUCUUCUUCCCAAAAAUCAUAAAUAUUCCAAAAAAAUCCCCGUAAGUUUUUAUUACGUUUGGACUUCGCUUGGUAUGGAUAUUCUAUGAAACAAAAAACAUGCAACAAACAGGAACUGGCACUGGGCACUGGAUCAAUAUGUUAGUCCCAAAAAUAGUAUAAAAAGUUGCCAAAAGUAUAUGAAAGUUGUAGAAUAUUGGCAUGAAACAAUCAAAAGUUAUAGAUAUGACGGAGACGUAUCAGCAUCCCCAAGCUUAAUUCCUGCUCGUCCUCGAGUAGGUAAAUGAUAAAAAAGAUAAUUUUGAUGUGAGAUGCUACCUAGCAUAAUCUUGAUCAUAUAAUCUAAUCAUGGCAUGAAUACUAAAACACGAGUUAUUCGAAGCAAUAGUCUAUCAUUUGAGAUAAAGACAAUAAUAUUUCAAGCAUACUAACAAAGCAAUCAUGUCUUCUCAAAAUAUCAUGGCCAAAUAAACUUAUCCCUACAAAAUCAUAUAGUCUGGCUAUGCUCCAUCUUCCCCACACAACGUAUUUAAAUCAUGCACAACCCCGAUUUUAGCCAAGCAAUUGUUUCAUACUUUAGUGUUCUCAAACUUUUUCAACUUUCACGCAAUACAUGAGCGUGAGCCAUGGACGUAGCACUAUAGGUGGAAUAGAAUAUGGUGGUCGUGGAGAAGACAAAAAAAGAGGAGAUAGUCUCACAUCAACUAGGCGUAUCAACGGUCUAUGGAGAUNNNNNNNNNNAUAGCACUAUAGGUGGAAUAGAAUAUGGUGGUUGUGGAGAAGACAAAAAGGAGGAGAUAGUCUCACAUCAACUAGGCGUAUCAACGGUCUAUGGAGAUGCCCAUCAAUAGAUAUCAAUGUGAGUGAGUAGGGAUUGCCACGCAACGGAUGCACUAGAGCUUAUAAGUGUAUGAAAGCUCACAAAAGAAAUUAGUGGGUGUGCACCCAACUUGCUUGCUCACGAAGACCUAGGGCAAUUUUGAGGAAGCCCAUCAUUGGAAUAUACAAGCCAAGUUAUAUAAUGAAAAUUUCCCACUAGUAUAUGGAAGUGACAACAUAGGAGACUCUCUGUCAUGAAGAUCAUACUGUUAUUUGAAGCACAAGUGUGGAAAGAGGAUAGUAGCAAUUGUCCCUUCUCUAUUUUCUCUCAUUUUUUUUGUGGGCUCUUUGGCUCUCUUUUUUAUUUUUAUAUUUUUUUUAUUUUGGUGGGCAUCGUUGGCCUCUUUUUUUGUAAAUGGGCUUCGUUGGCCUCUUUUAUUUCCUCACAUGGGACAAUGCUCUAUUAAUAAUGAUCAUCACACAUACAACUCAAUACUUAGAGCAAUGAUGACUCUAUAUGAAAUGCCUUCGGUAGUGUACCGUGACAAUGAUCUAGCAUAGCAAUGACAUCAAAAAAUGGACAAGCCAUGGAAACAUCAUGCUAGCUAUCUUACGAUCAUGCAAUGGAAAUAUGGAAAUGGUGGCACAUGUCAUGGGACGGAACGGUGGUAGUUGCAUGGCAAUAUAUCUCGGAAUGGCUAUGAAAAUGCCAUAAUAGGUAGGUAUGGUGGCUGUUUUGAGGGAGGCUAUAUGGUGGGUGUAAUGCACCGGCGGAAGUUGCGCGGUACUAGAGAGGCUAGCAAUGGUGGAAGGGUGAGAGUGCGUAUAAUCCAUGGACUCAACAUUAGUCGUAAAGAACUCACAUACUUAUUGCAAAAGUCUAUUAGUCAUCAAAACAAGCUACUACACGCAUGCUCCUAGGGGAAAGGUUGGUAGGAGUUAACCAUCGCGCGAUCCCAACCUCCACACAAAGAUUGACAAUCAAUAAAUAAAUCAUGCUCUGACUUCAUCACAUAACGGUUCACGGUUCACCAUACGUGCAUGCUACGGGAAUCACAAACCUUAACACAAGUAUUUCUACGAAUACACAAUUACUCACUAGCAUGACUCUAAUAUCACAUAUUCAUGUCGCAAAACUAUUGCAAGGAAUCAAACAUAUCAUAUUCAGUGAUCUACAAGUUUUAUGUAGGAUUUUAUGACUAACCAUGUGAAUGGCCAACUCCUGUUAACUCUCUAAAUAGGUAUAAGUGAAGCAUGAGAGUUUAAUUCUUUCUACAAAAGAUAUGCCCCGCUCUAACAAAUAUAAGUGAAGCAAAAGAGCAUUCUACAAAUGGCGGUUUUCUAUGUGUAGGGAAACAGGCAAUCCAAACUUAAAAAGAUAUAAGUGAAGCACAAGAAGCAUUCUAUAAAGCAAACCAAGGACUAUCUUAUACCAGCAUGGUGCAUAAAAUAAAAAGGAAAAAAACACAAAAGACGCUCCAAGCAUUUGCACAUAUCAUGUGACGAAUUAAAAGAUAGCUCCGAGUAAAAUUACCGAUAGAUUGUAGACGAAAGAGGGGAUGCCUUACGGGGCAUCCCCAAGCUUAGACGCUUGAGUCUUCCUUGAAUAUUAACUUGGGGUGCCUCGGGCAUCCCCAAGCUUAGGCUCUUGCCUCUCCUUAUUCCUUCAUCCAUCUUGCUCUCACCCAAAACUUGAAAACUUCAAUCACACAAAACUCAACAAAACUUUGUGAGAUCCGUUACUAUAAUAAAAUAAAUCACCACUUCAAGUACUGUUGUGAACUCAUUCUAAAUUCAUAUUAGCAUUAUAUCUAUUGUAAUCCAACUUCACCAUGGUUCAUACCCCCCGAUACUACCCAUAGAUUCAUCAAAAUAAGAGAACAAUGCAUAGAAAACAGAAUCUGUCAAAACAGAACAGUCUGUAGCAAUAUGUAUAUUCCUUAUACCUAUGAUAUCUUAAAAUAUCUGAAAAAUUAUGAACGUCUGGAAAAUUUGCAUAUCAAUCAGAAGAAAAAAGAAUCAACUAAAAACCUCUUCCAGAAUAAAAAUGAAAAUUAAUUUCGUGAGCAGAAAGUUUCUGUCUUUUCUCAGCGUGAUCAAACAACUACCACCCAAACUAAUCGUAAAGGCUUUGCUUGGCACAUUAUUUUUAAAAACACAAAGGAAUUGUACAAGGGGAUAAUUAUUUUCGUGAGAAACUUCCAUGAAAAAUUCUACAUUGUUUCCAUGAGCAUGAACACAAGUGUUCAAGGUCGACCCUCACUUCCGCAAUGCAUCACCUUUCAAUCGCUUCUCUUUUUGAAAAAGUUUUAAGUUCCCCUCUAUAUUUUUUUUGUUUUUAAACUAAAUAAAAGCACUCAACAGAAAUAAAUGACUCUCUAAAACUUCCUGGUUGUCUCCCAGGCAGCGCUUUCUUUAAAGCCAUUAAGCUAGGCAUAAAGUGCUCAAGUAAUGGAUCCACCCGGAUCCCAAGGUAUAUCAAAGCCAAUUUUAAUUAGCAAUGAUUUGAAAUUUAGUAGUGAGCACAAGGUAACAUAUAUCAUGCAAUGACGAAGUCUAACUCUCUUCCUAUGCAUUGGCAUGUCAUAAAAGAACAAUUCAUGCACACCAAGUAAAGGCCAAUACAUAGCAUANNNNNNNNNNNNNNNNNNNNNNNNNNNNNNNNNNNNNNNNNNNNNNNNNNNNNNNNNNNNNNNNNNNNNNNNNNNNNNNNNNNNNNNNNNNNNNNNNNNNGGCCUAUCUUGUACCUUUACUUUUUUCCCUUGUAAGAGUCAUGGUGAUCUUCACCAAUUCCCUAUUUUUUCCUUUGUCUUGGCUACCGUCACAUGCUUGGGAAAGAUCUAUAUUCAUAUAUCAACUUGGAGUUGAGUACUUAUGCUUUAUUAUUGUUGACUUUACCCUUGAGGUAAAUAGUUGGGAGGCAAAACUAUAAGCCCCUAUCUUCCUCCGUGUCCAGCUGAAACUUUGACACCAUGAGUACCACGUGAGUUGUAACAAUUGUGAAAAACAAAAGAGAUGAUUAAGUAUGUGGAUUUGCCUUAAAAGCUGUUACUUGACUCUUUCUGAUGUUGUGAUAAAUUGCAAUUGCCUCAAUGACUUUGGACUAUUGUUGGUUACUUCUCGGUAAGGUUUUUGCUUCAUGCUUUGCUUUGUGAAGGAAUUGUUACUCUCCCAUAAGAAUAUUUAUGAUGUAUUGCUGUCCUAUGUGUGAUCAUGAUGCCCUCAUGUCCGUAUUAUGUUUUAUCGACACCUUCGUCCCUCAACAUGUGGAUAUGUUUAUGGAACUUUGUUUUCGCUUGAGGACAAGCGAGGUCUAAGCUUGGGGGAGUUGAUACGUCCAUUUUGCAUCAUGCUUUCAUGUUGAUAUUUAUUGCUUUAUGGGCUGUUAUAUUACUUUGUGGUACCAUAUUUAUGCCUUUUCNNNNNNNNNNACAGCUGGAAUUCUGGACUGGAAAAGGAGCAAAUCUUAGUCCACUAUUAUGCACAUCUCCAAAUGCCCUAAAAAGUUACGUGGAAUUUUUUGGGAUUAUAUAAAAAAUACUGGGCUAAAGAAGUACCAGAGGGGGGCUACCAGGGCGCCACAAGCCCUGCCACCGCCACCCCUUGGUGGCGGAUGGCAAGCUUGUGGGCUCCCUAACGGCCCACUAGCCCCCCUCUUUUGCUAUAUGAAGGGUUUCAUUCCAGAAAAAAUCAAUCGGGAGCUUUUUCGUGGUUUCGCCGCCGCCCUGAGACGGAACUUGAGCAGAUCCAAUCUAGAGCUCCGGUAGGACGAUCCUGCCGGGGAAACAUCCCUCUGAGAGGGGGAAAUUGUCGCCAUCGUCUUCACCAACGCUCCUCUCAUCGGAGGGGAGGCAUCUUCAUCAACAUCUUCAUCAGCACCAUCUCCUAUCCAAUCCCUAGUUCAUCUCUUGUAACCAAUCACCGUCUCACGACUCCGAUUGGUACUUGUAAGGUUACUAGUAAUGUUGAUUACUAGUUGGAUUACUUGGUGGAAGAGUUUAUGUUCGGAUCCUUGAUGCUAUUCAUUACACCUGUGAUCAUGAUUAUGAUUAUGCUUUGUGAGUAGUUACUUUUGUUCCUGAGGACAUGGGAUAAGCCAUGUUAAUAAUAGUCAUGUGAAUUUGAUAUCCGUUCGGUAUUUUGAUNNNNNNNNNNNNNNNNNNNNNNNNNNNNNNNNNNNNNNNNNNNNNNNNNNNNNNNNNNNNNNNNNNNNNNNNNNNNNNNNNNNNNNNNNNNNNNNNNNNNGGGCGGCGGCUUGGUGAGGUAAGGGUGGGAACGGGGGCGGCUCCGGGGCGGGGUUCUUAUAGGCUAGGAGGGGGAGAUAAGGAAGGGGAGGGAGGGAAAAUCGGGGAAGAAAUCCCGAGGUUCCUGCUCGGGCUCGGUCUCGGUAGAAUAGGAAGGAGGAAGAAGAUGGGUGCCGUGGCAGAGGUUGGCUCGGUCGGUGGGGGCCACUCGGCAGAGAGAGGGAGGCGGGGAAAGGUGCGGCGGUCGGCCGGGAUCUAGGGAAUUAGUCCCUGGCGACGGGGGAUCUCGGCCCAAUGGCCUAAAAAGCGCUCGGGCGGCGGCGGCGGCUAACUUUCCUAUUUUAAACUUUUUUCCGAAUCCGAAAAUAAAAGCAAAUAAAAGGAAAGUAAAUCAAAAUAUUAAUAUAGGGUAUUAUAUACCAAAAAAAUCAGAAAAAUAUUCUCUACCCGAAUAACAUUUUUCCAAAGCAAAAAAAACUUUAAAAAAAAUGUUUUUUCAGAAAUUCACUAAAUUGCUUUUUUUCUUUUUGCAAUUAUUUUUGCAAAUGAACUUUGUAUUUUCUUGGCUCAAAUAUUUCAGAAAUUUGCCCGCACUUUGGAGGGNNNNNNNNNNGAAAAACUUUAAAAAAAAUGUUUUUUCAGAAAUUCACUAAAUUGCUUUAUUUCUUUUUGCAAUUAUUUUUGCAAAUGAACUUUCUAUUUUCUUGGCUCAAAUAUUUCAGAAAUUUGCCCGCACUUUGGAGGGUCAUUUUCCUCUGCUCUCUCUCUUGCGUGCAAGAGAGUAUUUCUCCGGGCAUUUCUUGCACGAGAAAACAAAUAAAAAUGCAAGAGAAUUCAACUGCAAAUAUCUCCGUUCAAAUUAUUUAUAGUUGAAGAAGUCAUGUCAUCUUCUCUAGUUGCUUUUAAAAGAUUGAAUUUGAAUUCACCGGAGAAGGGGAAAGUCAUUUUAUUCCCUCUCAUUCAAAAGUUUCGAAAAGUUUCAAAUUUCACACAAGUUUCAGUCACUCAGCAAACAGACAAACUAUCAAUCUAAUAAUUAUAUUAACAUUCCAAAAUUUAUAAUUUUGGGAUGUUACAUUCUUUUUCAUUCUAGGAUGACUAGGUGCCUCGGUGCUAACUCCUUGAGAAUCUUGUUCAAUUCUCUUAGGAUGACCCUCAUGAUACAAAGGUUCCUGGGUCAUUCUACCGCCUCUAGUGAUGACUCUGACAGAAUUGCCAUUCAACCCAUUGGGCAAGUCAUUUUGAGCCUUAAGUACUUGUUCUACUUGAGUAGUAACCAUAGAGGCAUGUUUACUCAAUAGCUUAAGAUCAUUGAUGUUUCUGUCCACACAAGCACUUAAAUGACUAAGCAUACGAGCAUUCUGUUCAAAUUGUCUGCUAACAUAGUCAUUGAAACUUUGUUGCUUGGCAACAAAGUUAUCAAAUUCAUCCACGCAUAAGAUAGCAGGUUUAUCAAAAUGAAUAUCACUCUCAUUGAAUCUACGAAGAGAAUUUACCUCUACUACCUGUGUCGGGUUAUCAAGACCAUUGAUCUCUUCGAUAGGUGGUAGAUUUUUGACAUCUUCAGAUUGAAUGCCUUUCUCUUUCAUAGAUUUCUUAGCUUCUUGCAUAUCUUCAGGAUUGAGGAAUAGAAUACCUCUUUUAUUUGGAGUUGGCUUCGGAGGUGGUUCGGGAAUAGUCCAAGCAUUCUCACUGCACAAGAUAUUGUUCAAUAGGAUCUCAGCUUGUUCUACAGUUCGUUCCCUAAAACACAACCGACACAACUAUGUAGGUGGUCCUUAGAAGCAUCGGUUAGUCCAUUAUAGAAGAUAUCAUGUAUUUCAUUCUUCUCAAGAGGGUGAUCAAGCAAAGCAUUCAAUAGCUGGACGAGCCUCCCCAAGCUUGUGGGAGACUCUCUUCUUCAACUUGCGCAAAGUUGUAUAUCUCCUGCAAGGCAGCUUGCUUCUUAUGGGCAAGGAAAUAUUUCUCAGAGAAGUAGUAGAUCAUAUCCUGGGGACUAUGCACACAACCAGGAGCAAGAGAAGUGAACCAAGUCUUAGCAUCAUCCUUUAGAACCGAAGAAUUGGAGCGUGUGGAGCCGACAAGCCCACCAGGCGUGGCCCCCCUGGCCGCGCCUGGCAGGCUUGUGGGGCCCACGUUGCUCCACCGCCUCCAAUUCCAGCUCUAUUUAGUCCCUUUUGUCCGGAAAAAAAAUCGAGGAAAAAUGUUCAUCGCGUUUUACAAUACGGAGGCGCCACCACCUCCUGUUCUUCCUUUGGAGGGCAGAUCUAGAGUCCGUUCUAGGCUCCGGAGAGGGGAGAUCGUCGCCAUCGUCAUCACCAACCAUCCUUCAUUGCCAAUUCCAUGAUGCUCUUCACCGUUCGUGAGUAAUCUCAUCGUAGGCUUGCUGGACGGUGAUGGGUUGGAUGAGAUCUAUCAUGUAAUGAAAUUAUUUUUGACGCGGAUUGAUCCCUAGUAUCCACUAUGUUCUGAGAUUGAUGUUGCUACUANNNNNNNNNNNNNNNNNNNNNNNNNNNNNNNNNNNNNNNNNNNNNNNNNNNNNNNNNNNNNNNNNNNNNNNNNNNNNNNNNNNNNNNNNNNNNNNNNNNNNNNNNNNNNNNNNNNNNNNNNNNNNNNNNNNNNNNNNNNNNNNNNNNNNNNNNNNNNNNNNNNNNNNNNNNNNNNNNNNNNNNNNNNNUUAGAUCCUAUCUUACAAGUUGUAGUCACCUACUAUGUGUUAUGACCCGGCAACCCUGAAGUGACAAUAGCCGGAACCACUCCGGGAGAUGACCAUAGUAUGAGGAGUUCAUGUAUUCACCAAGUGUUAAUGAGUUGGUCCGGUUCUUUAUUAAAAGGAGAACCUUAAUAUCCCGUAGUUUCCAUUAGGACCCCGCUGCCAUGGGAGGGAUGGACAAUAGAUGUCAUGCAAGUUCUUUUCCCUAAGCACGUAUGACUACAUACGGAAUACAUGCCUACAUUAAAUUGACGAACUGGAGCUAGUUACUUAUCUGUCCGUGUUAUAACUGUUGCAUGAUGAAUCGCAUCCGGCACAAUCAUCCAUCACCGAUACAAUGCCUACGAGUCUUUUACUACUGGUCCUUGCUACGCUAUUUUUUUGCCACUGGUGUCACUACUGCUACUGUUACUCUGUUCCUACUGCUAUUACUUUGUGCUACU
Molecule: long non-coding RNA, 12830 nt
Filed under: Hordeum vulgare
Lineage: Eukaryota; Viridiplantae; Streptophyta; Magnoliopsida; Poales; Poaceae
Description: long non-coding RNA (HVUL_LNC021558)
Source: RNAcentral